Long non-coding RNA from Cannabis sativa, 265 nucleotides. RefSeq lists it as uncharacterized. The transcript is spliced from 2 exons. The record is from RefSeq and is a predicted model, not a curated record. Lineage: Eukaryota; Viridiplantae; Streptophyta; Magnoliopsida; Rosales; Cannabaceae.
CUGCCAAGACUCGACCUAUAUCUCACUCUAAGCACAACCCAAAUUGGUUUAAGAUCAGGAUGGGCUAUUAUGAUUACUUGAAUGUUAAAAUGCAUUCUUCAUGCAAAAUAAUAAAAUUGUUGUAGCUAUAUUUUUGGUUAAAAAAGACCAUGCAAGUUGGUCUUAGCAUAUUCUUUUUAUUUUACUCUGGUAUAUGUUUUGUAUUAUCAAUUUCUUACAUUAAAACAAAAUCUUCAUUUAAGAAAGAUGCUUGAAGGAUGGAUUA